GACGAACGCUGGCGGCGUGCCUAAUACAUGCAAGUUGAGCGAUGAAGAUUGGUGCUUGCACCAAUUUGAAGAGCAGCGAACGGGUGAGUAACGCGUGGGGAAUCUGCCUUUGAGCGGGGGACAACAUUUGGAAACGAAUGCUAAUACCGCAUAACAACUUUAAACAUAAGUUUUAAGUUUGAAAGAUGCAAUUGCAUCACUCAAAGAUGAUCCCGCGUUUUAUUAGCUAGUUGGUGAGGUAAAGGCUCACCAAGGCGAUGAUACAUAGCCGACCUGAGAGGGUGAUAGGCCACAUUGGGAAGGAGACACGGCCCAAACUACUACGGGAGGCAGCAGUAGGGAAUCAUCGGCAAUGGAAGAAAGUCUGGACGAGCAACGCCGCGUGAGUGAAGAAGGUUUUCGGAUCGUAAAACUCUGUUGGUAGAGAAGAACGUUGGUGAGAGUGGAAAGCUCAUCAAGUGACGGUAACUACCCAGAAAGGGACGGCUAACUACGUG
This 497-nucleotide ribosomal RNA is filed under the name uncultured bacterium. RNAcentral's name for it is "partial 16S ribosomal RNA". It matches the Rfam family "Bacterial small subunit ribosomal RNA", at positions 28 to 507 of the family's 1533-position model. The record is from RNAcentral.